AUUUAACUUUUUGUUGAAAUAUUUCGCAUAUUUCUAUUUUUAUUUCACAAUCGCGCGAAUUAUCUUUCUUUUUCCCUUCGUUCGCGCCCAAUACCCAAACCCUCACCAUUCAUGGCCAUUCGAGAGCUUCAACAGUUUUCAGACGACACAGUGCCAACAAUCAAAGUUAACUGCCACUGAAUAUAAGCUUGAAGGCUUGUUUGUCAACCUCUUCUCACUAUAAGCUACUCAAACAAGACUUCAUCCCGGUAGAUAACAACCCAGAUUUCACUGCCUGCUCACUGGAAAUGAAUGCUUGAGGCAACUUAUAAUCUGAAUUUCCGAUUGUUAUCAUUGUAAAUUCAGCAAGCAAAUUUUCUGUUUUCAGUCUUCUAGAAGUUUAUAUUAAAGACUUUUUAGUGAUAAAAAUUGAAUUGGUUAGGGACAGUGACCCAUGAUGAGAUUCUAUUUGUAUAUAUGCAGUUACUUAAUGGAGUUAAACCAUUGGCAUAUUUGACAGCUUUAUACACAUCACAAUGCUUUUGAUGAU
This is a long non-coding RNA of Lotus japonicus, 529 nucleotides long. RefSeq lists it as uncharacterized. The transcript has 4 exons. The record is from RefSeq and is a predicted model, not a curated record. NCBI's taxonomy places the organism in Eukaryota, Viridiplantae, Streptophyta, Magnoliopsida, Fabales, Fabaceae.